UUGUGUUGGUGAUAUAUAAUUAAAUUUGCCUUCAACCACAAGCUUAAGCUUUUGGAUGAAUUGGUGGUUUAAUAUGGUAUCAGAGCAGGUGGUCCAGGGAGGUCCUGUGUUCAAGCCCCUGUAUUGUCGUUUCCUCCCCAAUUAAAAUCAAUUUCCACUUGUUGGGCCUUUCAGAUAUUUCAAGCCCACAAGUGAGGGGGAGUGUUGGUGAUAUAUAAUUAAAUUUGCCUUCAACCACAAGCUUAAGCUUUUGGAUGAAUUGGUGGUUUAAUAACUUGAAUUUUCAAAACGACCAAGCAAUGCUUAAGUGUAAGUUUGUAACUCACAACCUACCAAAAUUUCAAAAAGUAUGAAAAAAGUACUUCAAGACCCAACAUGUCAAUCAAAUGUGUGUAAAACUUAGUUUCAAACCAACCUAAAAC
RNAcentral lists this long non-coding RNA (422 nucleotides) under Cucumis sativus (cucumber). Its description in RNAcentral is "long non-coding RNA (CSAT_LNC003080)". Lineage: Eukaryota; Viridiplantae; Streptophyta; Magnoliopsida; Cucurbitales; Cucurbitaceae. The record is from RNAcentral.